UACGGAGGGUGCAAGCAUUAAUCGGAUUUACUGGGCGUAAAGGGCGCGUAGGCGGCCCGCUAAGUCGAACGUGAAAUCCCCGAGCUCAACUCGGGAACUGCGUCCGAUACUGGUGGGCUUGAAUCCGGGAGAGGGAUGCGGAAUUCCAGGUGUAGCGGUGAAAUGCGUAGAUAUCUGGAGGAACACCGGUGGCGAAGGCGGCAUCCUGGACCGGCAUUGACGCUGAGGCGCGAAAGCUAGGGGAGCAAACGGG
RNAcentral lists this ribosomal RNA (253 nucleotides) under uncultured bacterium. Its description in RNAcentral is "partial 16S ribosomal RNA". It matches the Rfam family "Bacterial small subunit ribosomal RNA", at positions 524 to 776 of the family's 1533-position model. The record is from RNAcentral.